UGUGAGGCUGAAUUUUUAUAGCUCGCUGAUCGAUAUCGCUGUAAAAAUAAUCAUUUUUUUUUUUAAACUAGCGAGGCAGCGAAAUCUUUGCUUUGUGCUAAAGUCAACAGUGGCAGAGUUUGAGCUCAAAUAAAUGCUGCAGUGCCUGGAGCACUUUGCAGAACGCAGCGGACGAGCAGCGGACCCUCAGCAGCUUACAGGCUGUAGAGCGACAGAUGGAAGGUAGCGGAAAUAGGAUGCACCAGAGGUCAAUAGUGUGUUCACACUGCUCUGAGAGUAUAGUGUGAAGUUCCUGAUCACUUUCUCUCACAGACAAGACUUGCCAAACCACAGGUAUGGAUCAAUUGUAAAUGUUCAUCAGUUACAGCCCUAAUGCUUCAAGCCAUGGUGGAAGUGCUAGCUUGCCAAUCAUCAUCAGAGCACCUUCACCUGCAACUCAGCAGUCACGUCUGACCUGGCCGCAUAUGAGAGAUAACAUUCGCGUCUGCAGAGCUGAGAGGGGGGACAAAAGGAAGUUUGACGUUAAUGAUUAACAGCGCUAAAAGCCCCUGCUUUUGUAUUCCCAUGGUACCGAGGCUAUCUGGUGGCCAUGUGACCUGCGUGGAGGAGAUUGGGGGUGAGCAGUAGAGCAAACACAGGUGCUCUGUUUGGGUUGGAGUCGCCUGCGCUGUCAGGGACAACCACAAACACACGCAGCCAUGCCAAGCUCCACAAACAGUCGCCUACGCCAACAGAUCAAGUCCAAUGUGCUCCUCCUAUCUUCCUAUAUGUUCAACAUUGGAAAAAGUAUCUACCAUAUUUAUUGCAUUUAAGCUGGGGCAUCUUUAACCAGGGUUAACAAUUAGUUAAAAAGUAUAGUAUAAAGAAAAACACAAUUGCCUUUUACUUGUAUAAUAAAAACUAAUAAAAUAUGCUUUAAUUUAUACUUGUAUAUCACACUGUGCUGAAUAAUAAUGUUUUCAUGUCUGAUGCAACUGCUAAUCAAUUGUGCCGAGGCUGCCUGACUGUAAUUAAUGAGCUAUUCUCGAUCAUUUUCAAUCAUGUUAAGCACAAUGUUAACAACUCCUGAGGGAAAGGUGUUAAGAAUCAUUUAACCUCAGCAUUUUCAAUGUCAAUCAUGGCUACAUGUGCAGUGCGCUAGUGGGAACUGGACCUUUUCUUGAUAAUGUAAUCAGCUGUUAUAAAAGCCCUAUCACUAAAACCUUCUCAGUCUGACACAGAAAUGACGAAAGUGAUAACAAGAACAAAAGCUGCAAUACAAGCAUCCCCUAUUGAAAAAACAAAACAAAAAAGGAAAUGGAAAUGGAAAGACCACAUUAUGGAAACAACGCAUUCAGUGUCUAAUUUUCUGUACAGUGUACUGCAGAUCAGACAGACGGUGCUUUGAUUGUUCUGAUAUUAAUGUUUGCACUUGGGCUGCUUUUCAGUUAAUUGCUAGCACUUGAGGAGUCAAGGUUUGAUUACAAACGUAACAAUAAUAAAGCCUUUUGACGGCAAACACUUAAUCAGAAGCGAAUAUAAAAUUCUUAAAGGAAAAAAAACAUGUGAAUGAGAUGUGAAAAGUCCAAUAAAUAAUAAAAUGAAUAUUAUCUUAAACCUCAAUCCGACAGCAGAUUUCAUACCUGUAUAUAUACGUGCGUGUGU
This is a long non-coding RNA of Silurus meridionalis, 1644 nucleotides long. RefSeq lists it as uncharacterized. The transcript has 3 exons. Lineage: Eukaryota; Metazoa; Chordata; Actinopteri; Siluriformes; Siluridae. The record is from RefSeq and is a predicted model, not a curated record.